CCUACGGGCGGCAGCAGUGAGGAAUAUUGGUCAAUGGGCGCGAGCCUGAACCAGCCAAGUCGCGUGAAGGAUGACUGCCCUACGGGUUGUAAACUUCUUUUAUAAAGGAAUAAAGUGAGGCACGUGUGCCUUUUUGUAUGUACUUUAUGAAUAAGGAUCGGCUAACUCCGGGCCAGCAGCCGCGGUAAGACGGAGGAUUCGAGCGUUAUCCGGAUUUAUUGGGUUUAAAGGGAGCGUAGAUGGGUUGUUAAGUCAGUUGUGAAAGUUUGGGGCUCAACCGUAAAAUUGCAAUUGAUACUGGCAGGCUUGAGUACAGUAGAGGUAGGCGGAAUUCGUGGUGUAGCGGUGAAAUGCUUAGAUAUCACGAAGAACUCCGAUUGCGAAGGCAGCUUACUAAACUGCCACUGACAUUGAUGCGCGAAAGUGUGGGUAUCAAACAGGAUUAGAUACCCCAGUAGUC
This 460-nucleotide ribosomal RNA is filed under the name uncultured bacterium. RNAcentral's name for it is "partial 16S ribosomal RNA". It matches the Rfam family "Bacterial small subunit ribosomal RNA", at positions 338 to 795 of the family's 1533-position model. The record is from RNAcentral.